CCCUACGGGGGAGCCGGGAGCUAUCCUGCAGGUAUCGCUUUCUGCACUGGGAGCUGGAGUUCCCUGUGGUGUUCUUUGACGAGUACGGGCGGCGCAACCCGCAGGGAGGUUUUGACGCCGUGCUUGGCAAUCCGCCCUGGGAGCGCAUGAAGCUACAGGAGAAUGAGUUCUUUGCCCUGCGGGAGUCGGCUAUCGCCCUGGCCCCGACGGCGGCCCGCCGUAAGGCCCUUAUCGCCGCACUACCUCAAACCGCCCCGGAGCUAUGGGCGGAGUAUCAGCAAGCCAAAGCGCAGGCGGACCUGGAAAUGGCCUGGACCCGCAAUUCUGGUCAGUACCCCUUCAUGGGCAGGGGCGAUACGAACCUCUAUGCCGUGAUGACGGAGCGGGGGCGGUCGCUGCUGGCCCCCCACGGGCGGGAGAGC
RNAcentral lists this ribosomal RNA (422 nucleotides) under uncultured prokaryote. RNAcentral's name for it is "partial 16S ribosomal RNA". The record is from RNAcentral.